UGCGUUACGAAAUGUGCGCAUGGCAGCCAGGGGCUGGAACCGGGUCCAGGCGAUAACCGAAUUUUAUCGGCGCGUCGUAUGUGUUUGGAGCUGAUAUCUUGAUUACGGGCCACGUCGUUAUUAGCUCAAGAUGGCAGUUAGCUCGGAUUUAGGGUGUAGUACACUACAACAAUAGCAGCUCUCAUCCCAGAUGGAAUUCAUUAAUGCUUCCUGGAUAUCCUAUCUUAGAUGAGGCAACCACUAAGUUUGAGGAGAAUAUUUCAACAAGCUCAAGAGAGAUAUCAGAGAGUGGAUCAGGCACAACACACUAAUCUAGAGCACCUCAACCAGCUCGAGCUCAACCUGAGUCAAGUGUUUCCCCUGCUACUGCUAGCCGAUCCGUGUUUAGAUUCUGAAGGAGAUGAUGGUGAUGAGGUGAAGUAACUUGUGCAUCUUGUAGUCGCUUUGUGCCUUAUUGAAUGAAACUUUUAUCAACCGUGGCUCAGAUUGAUUGACAAACAUGUAUGGUAUUUGAUAUGCGACUAAUUGUAAGGGUAUGACAAGCAUGUGGUAGGAAUUGACAAUGGGCCAUGAUUUUUGUCAAGAAUAAAUUGGUCUAUCAUUUCAAGUUCGGUCAUGGCAAUUCAGGAUAUGUUGAUGAGAAAGAACUCAUGAAAACAAUCUUUUUCAAGCAUAAAACAAUGAUGCAAGUAAAAAUGGUUUCGUAAUGUAUGCUUAUUACGGAUUCAAUGAAGGAUGUGAUUUGAGGAUGGAGUGAAGAUAGCAAGUAAAAUGGCUCUGCUAAGCGUAGGCAAAGGGCAAGUCAAGUGACGGCGGGAGCGCUGAAGUACCAUGGCUAAAGUAAAGAGUCAGGGUAGUACUUAAGCUACGAGGAGUUGUAUCUUGAGGAGAAUCAAAUCUUUGUUGGAUUAUAUGAGUUGACUUGUUGUAUUAAUUCACAUGUGUUGAAGCAUUGCUCAAAAUGACAAAGACAAGCUAGUUGUAAUUCUUAUAAAGCUGAAUGAGAAGAAACAACAUAUGUGAAGGCUCGAAGCUCAAGCAAUUUAAAUUUA
Molecule: long non-coding RNA, 1052 nt
Organism: Sorghum bicolor (sorghum)
Lineage: Eukaryota; Viridiplantae; Streptophyta; Magnoliopsida; Poales; Poaceae
Exons: 2
Source: RefSeq, a predicted model, not a curated record